RNAcentral lists this ribosomal RNA (460 nucleotides) under uncultured bacterium. RNAcentral describes it as "partial 16S ribosomal RNA". It matches the Rfam family "Bacterial small subunit ribosomal RNA", at positions 338 to 795 of the family's 1533-position model. The record is from RNAcentral.
CCUACGGGGGACAGCAGUGAGGAAUAUUGGUCAAUGGACGAGAGUCUGAACCAGCCAAGUAGCGUGAAGGAUGACUGCCCUAUGGGUUGUAAACUUCUUUUAUAAAGGAAUAAAACGAGGCACGUGUGCCUUUUUGCAUGUACUUUAUGAAUAAGGAUCGGCUAACUCCGUGCCAGCAGCCGCGGUAAUACGGAGGAUCCGAGCGUUAUCCGGAUUUAUUGGGUUUAAAGGGAGCGUAGAUGGGUUGUUAAGUCAGUUGUGAAAGUUUGCGGCUCAACCGUAAAAUUGCAAUUGAUACUGGCAGUCGUGAGUACAGUUGAGGUAGGCGGAAUUCGUGGUGUAGCGGUGAAAUGCUUAGAUAUCACGAAGAACCCCGAUUGCGAAGGCAGCUUACUAAACUGUGACUGACAUUGAUGCUCGAAAGUGUGGGUAUCAAACAGGAUUAGAUACCCUGGUAGUC